Molecule: ribosomal RNA, 256 nt
Filed under: uncultured bacterium
Lineage: Bacteria
Description: partial 16S ribosomal RNA
Rfam family: Bacterial small subunit ribosomal RNA
Source: RNAcentral
UGGCGGACGGGUGAGUAAUGUCUGGGAAACUGCCUGAUGGAGGGGGAUAACUACUUGAAACGGUAGCUAAUACCGCAUAACGUCGCAAGACCAAAGAGGGGGACCUUCGGGCCUCUUGCCAUCGGAUGUGCCCAGAUGGGAUUAGCUAGUAGGUGGGGUAACGGCUCACCUAGGCGACGAUCCCUAGCUGGUCUGAGAGGAUGACCAGCCACACUGGAACUGAGACACGGUCCAGACUCCUACGGGAGGCAGCAUG